This 247-nucleotide ribosomal RNA is filed under the name uncultured bacterium. Its description in RNAcentral is "partial 16S ribosomal RNA". It matches the Rfam family "Bacterial small subunit ribosomal RNA", at positions 109 to 354 of the family's 1533-position model. The record is from RNAcentral.
AGUAACACGUGAGCAACCUGCCUUUCANAGGGGGAUAACAGUUGGAAACGACUGCUAAUACCGCAUAACGCUGCGAUGGGGCAUCCCGAUGCAGCCAAAGGAGCAAUCCGCUGGAAGAUGGGCUCGCGGCCGAUUAGCUAGUUGGUGGGGCAACGGCCCACCAAGGCGACGAUCGGUAGCCGGACUGAGAGGUUGAUCGGCCACAUUGGGACUGAGACACGGCCCAAACUCCUACGGGAGGCAGCAG